GCAAGUCGAGCGCACGCUUCGGAGUGAGCGGCGGACGGGUUAGUAACGCGUGGGAAUAUACCCUUUACUACGGAAUAGCCUUUGGAAACGAAGAGUAAUACCGUAUACGCCCUUCGGGGGAAAGAUUUAUCGGUAAAGGAUUAGCCCGCGUUGGAUUAGAUAGUUGGUGAGGUAAUGGCCCACCAAGUCUACGAUCAAUAGCUGGUUUGAGAGGAUGAUC
This 220-nucleotide ribosomal RNA is filed under the name uncultured bacterium. RNAcentral describes it as "partial 16S ribosomal RNA". It matches the Rfam family "Bacterial small subunit ribosomal RNA", at positions 57 to 305 of the family's 1533-position model. The record is from RNAcentral.